Molecule: long non-coding RNA, 572 nt
Filed under: Rattus norvegicus (Norway rat)
Lineage: Eukaryota; Metazoa; Chordata; Mammalia; Rodentia; Muridae
Description: long non-coding RNA NONRATT033721
Source: RNAcentral
GUCAGCCCGACGCCGCGGGAGCCUAGGUAGUCAUCCAUCAGAAUAAUGACCAUUAAUGCGUCAUUCCGCCGGGCCGGACUGCCCUGGACGGCGCUCUAGGCAAGCCAUCCACAGCCUGAAGUGAGAUGCCAGCCAGAGACAGCCUGAGUCCGAGACACAAGGCAGAGAGAAUGAAGUACAAAUCAUAAUGGUCAUCACUCAGUGAACACACUCCCUUAAGCACCAUCCAGGAUGUUUAGCUGGUUUUUAAAGGAGAAAGAGACCGCUGAGAGAAAACACUGGAGUGGCAGCCCAGGCAGCCGUGCCUGCAGGAGGAUGCCUCCCAGCAGAACAGAGUCCUCACUUUCUGCACUUGAACUGUGUGGUGCUAGGAACGAACAGGCUGCUGUCAGGUACUUUAGGUUCAGAAGUGUAAAACAGGAAAUGUAUUGCUGUGACUUUUGUGUUAUUAACUCCUGAAUUUCCUUAGCCUAUACAUUGUUUCUUCAUGUAUGUGCAUCCUAAGCCUAUACAUUGUUUCUUCAUGUAUGUGCAUCCUUUGCCUGGAAUGAAGUAUAUUCAGCAAAAGUGAC